This 253-nucleotide ribosomal RNA is filed under the name uncultured bacterium. Its description in RNAcentral is "partial 16S ribosomal RNA". It matches the Rfam family "Bacterial small subunit ribosomal RNA", at positions 524 to 776 of the family's 1533-position model. The record is from RNAcentral.
UACGUAGGGGGCAAGCGUUGUCCGGAAUCAUUGGGCGUAAAGAGCGUGUAGGCGGUUCGGUAAGUCGGCUGUGAAAGUCCAGGGCUCAACCCUGGGAUGCCGGUCGAUACUGCCGGACUAGAGUUCGGAAGAGGCGAGUGGAAUUCCUGGUGUAGCGGUGAAAUGCGCAGAUAUCAGGAAGAACACCUAUGGCGAAGGCAGCUCUCUGGGACGGUACUGACGCUGAGACGCGAAAGCGUGGGGAGCGAACAGG